RNAcentral lists this ribosomal RNA (254 nucleotides) under uncultured bacterium. RNAcentral describes it as "partial 16S ribosomal RNA". It matches the Rfam family "Bacterial small subunit ribosomal RNA", at positions 524 to 776 of the family's 1533-position model. The record is from RNAcentral.
CUCGUAGGGUGCGAGCGUUGUCCGGAAUUAUUGGGCGUGAAGGGCUCGUAGGCGGUUUGUCGCGUCGGCCGUGAAAACCUGCAGCUUAACUGUGGGCUUGCGGUCGAUACGGGCAUCACUGGAGUUCGGCAGGGGAGACUGGAAUUCCUGGUGUAGCGGUGAAAUGCGCAGAUAUCAGGAGGAACACCGGUGGCGAAGGCGGGUCUCUGGGCCGAUACUGACGCUGAGGAGCGAAAGCGUGGGGAGCGAACAGG